RNAcentral lists this ribosomal RNA (347 nucleotides) under uncultured fungus. Its description in RNAcentral is "SSU rRNA". It matches the Rfam family "Eukaryotic small subunit ribosomal RNA", at positions 20 to 371 of the family's 1831-position model. Lineage: Eukaryota; Fungi. The record is from RNAcentral.
GUAGUCAUAUGCUUGUCUCAAAGAUUAAGCCAUGCAUGUCUAAGUAUAAGCAACUAUACGGUGAAACUGCGAAUGGCUCAUUAAAUCAGUUAUCGUUUAUUUGAUAGUACCUUACUACUUGGAUAACCGUGGUAAUUCUAGAGCUAAUACAUGCUAAAAACCCCAACUUCGGAAGGGGUGUAUUUAUUAGAUAAAAAACCAACGCCCUUCGGGGCUCCUUGGUGAAUCAUAAUAACUUAACGAAUCGCAUGGCCUUGCGCCGGCGAUGGUUCAUUCAAAUUUCUGCCCUAUCAACUUUCGAUGGUAGGAUAGUGGCCUACCAUGGUUGCAACGGGUAACGGGGAAUG